UACGGGGGGAGCAAGCGUUGUUCGGAUUUACUGGGCGUAAAGGGCGCGUAGGCGGCCAGCACAAGUCAGUUGUGAAAUCUCCGAGCUUAACUCGGAACGGUCAACUGAUACUGUGCGGCUAGAGUGCGGAAGGGGCAACUGGAAUUCUUGGUGUAGCGGUGAAAUGCGUAGAUAUCAAGAGGAACACCUGCGGCGAAGGCGGGUUGCUGGGCCGACACUGACGCUGAGGAGCGAAAGCGUGGGGAGCGAACAGG
This 254-nucleotide ribosomal RNA is filed under the name uncultured bacterium. RNAcentral's name for it is "partial 16S ribosomal RNA". It matches the Rfam family "Bacterial small subunit ribosomal RNA", at positions 524 to 776 of the family's 1533-position model. The record is from RNAcentral.